UGCAAGUCGAGCGCGAUAUUUUUGAAGAUACUUCGGUUGAUUUCUUGAAUGGAAAGCGGCGAAAGGGAGAGUAACGAGUAGAUACGUACCCAAGGGUCCGGGAUAGCCAUGCGAAAGCGUGAGUAACACCGGAUAAUGUCUCCGGACCAAAUAUUUAUAGCCCUUGGAGCGGUCUGCUUACUAUUAGCUUGUUGGUGGGGUAAAGGCCUACCAAGGCAAAGAUGGUUAGCGGGUGUGAGAGCAUGGCCCGUCUCACUGGGACUGAGACACUGCCCAGACAUCUACGGAUGGCUGCAGUCGAGAAUCUUCCGCAAUGGACGAAAGUCUGACGGAGCGACGCCGCGUGAUGGACGAAGGCCCUCGGGUUGUAAACAUCUGUCGUAGGGGAGGAAAUUUUGACCGAUCCUAGGAGGAAGCACAGGCUAAGUUCGUGCCAGCAGCCGCGGUAAUACG
RNAcentral lists this ribosomal RNA (453 nucleotides) under uncultured bacterium. RNAcentral's name for it is "bacterial SSU rRNA". It matches the Rfam family "Bacterial small subunit ribosomal RNA", at positions 56 to 527 of the family's 1533-position model. The record is from RNAcentral.